UAAAGUUGAUUUAUUGACUCAUUACAUCAGAUGCCUUCAGGACAACAAAUAAUCUGAAACUUGUCUGAUCAUCCGGAUAAAGUUCCCAGAUCAUUAUGUCCACUGACAUUAAACAUCUAGGUCUUUUUCGAUAUUGAUUACUUUGCAGUUUCUACACACAUAAUGAGAUUGACCAUUUUGACACAUCCCUCCAGUGAGUUUGGUCAAACAACCAGCAUCGCUAUAGAACAUAACCAAGAUGAUGUCAAAGGAUUCUAUAGCUCACUGAUCUUCAGAAGUUUGACCCCUGCGUAUCCCUCUGCCUGCCCCUCACCCAGCACCCUGCAUGUUCUUCUCCCACGUGGCUAGAGCCUGCUAAAGGACUGAGAACUGGUCA
Molecule: long non-coding RNA, 376 nt
Organism: Manis pentadactyla (Chinese pangolin)
Lineage: Eukaryota; Metazoa; Chordata; Mammalia; Pholidota; Manidae
Exons: 3
Source: RefSeq, a predicted model, not a curated record